UGGCUAGUAGAACAAUGGUAGAUUCCCUGUUAAGGAAAAGGUUGUAGGUUCGAGUCCUACUUAGUCAG
This 68-nucleotide transfer RNA is filed under the name Caudoviricetes sp. RNAcentral describes it as "tRNA-OTHER". It matches the Rfam family "tRNA". Rfam says of the family: Transfer RNA (tRNA) molecules are approximately 80 nucleotides in length. Their secondary structure includes four short double-helical elements and three loops (D, anti-codon, and T loops). The record is from RNAcentral. Lineage: Duplodnaviria; Heunggongvirae; Uroviricota; Caudoviricetes.